Long non-coding RNA from Oncorhynchus tshawytscha (Chinook salmon), 546 nucleotides. NCBI's taxonomy places the organism in Eukaryota, Metazoa, Chordata, Actinopteri, Salmoniformes, Salmonidae. The record is from Ensembl.
GUAGCCUAGUGGUUAGAGUGUAGGGACGGCAGGUAGCCUAGUGGUUAGAGUGUAGGGACGGCAGGUAGCCUAGUGGUUAGAGUGUAGGGACGGCAGGUAGCCUAGUGGUUAGAGUGGAGGGGCGGCAGGGUAGCCUAGUGGUUAGAGUGGAGGGGCGGCAGGGUAGCCUAGUGGUUAGAGUGGAGGGGCGGCAGGUAGCCUAGUGGUUAGAGUGGAGGGGCGGCAGGUAGCCUAGUGGUUAGAGUGGAGGGGCGGCAGGUAGCCUAGUGGUUAGAGUGGAGGGGCGGCAGGGUAGCCUAGUGGUUAGAGUGGAGGGGCGGCAGGGUAGCCUAGUGGUUAGAGUGGAGGGGCGGCAGGGUAGCCUAGUGGUUAGAGUGGAGGGGCGGCAGGGUAGCCUAGUGGUUAGAGUGGAGGGGCGGCAGGGUAGCCUAGUGGUUAGAGCGUUGGACUAGUAACCGGAAGGUUGCAAGUACAAAUCCCCGAGCUGACAAGGUACAAAUCUGUCGUUCUGCCCCUGAACAGGCAGUUAACCCACAGUUCCUAGGC